AGCGUAACGCUGUUGGAGAUGAGAGGGCACAGCACAAUUUUGAGAGCCAAACAAAGGCGGGGCACAGAGCUGUUGCCUCGAGAUGUGUGGCCUCAGAAGGUCUUGUCGAGGAUUCAAGGAGAUUCAAAACCCGUGUCACUGCUGCCAUCUUCCUAGAAUCCCUUUAAAUCCUCAUGGAUUUGCUGACAUUGGGAGCAUCCUGAAAGAGUCCCCAUGCUAGGGUGGCUGCAGUAACAGGUUCUCCCCACUCCAGAAAAAAUCAAAUCAGAUUGUGAAUUUAUUCCCUGACAUUAACACACGGCAUUACAGGAGCAUGUACAUCACAUGGUCAAUUUAUUGGCAUGAGGAUUAUGUCAUCGGGGAAUAAAUGGGAAAUUCUCAAGGUACUUUGCUCCAGUAAUCAGGACUUUAUUUAUCUCUAAGCUAAAAGAGGGGAUUGACUUCUUUAAUGAUGAUCAGAAAAUGCUUUUAGGAAGAUUCCUUUCCUAUUAAACAAUUUCUUAAAGUUGCAGUAAAUGUUGUGUGGCUUGUCUAUGCCCAAGGCUUGGCAGCACACUUUCCUUUGUCUUCAAAACCAUGGGAAAGAAUGUCACAGGAGUCUUGGAGGAAAAAUAAUUACAAAGAGGAAAAGGUUG
Molecule: long non-coding RNA, 635 nt
Filed under: Homo sapiens (human)
Lineage: Eukaryota; Metazoa; Chordata; Mammalia; Primates; Hominidae
Description: non-protein coding lnc-VSX1-1:15
Source: RNAcentral